Melanotaenia boesemani (Boeseman's rainbowfish) is the source of this 2063-nucleotide long non-coding RNA. RefSeq lists it as uncharacterized. The record is from RefSeq and is a predicted model, not a curated record. NCBI's taxonomy places the organism in Eukaryota, Metazoa, Chordata, Actinopteri, Atheriniformes, Melanotaeniidae. The transcript is spliced from 4 exons.
UGUAUUUCCCGCUCAGGGCCAAGAAGACGGAGGAAUGACAACAAGUCAUAAGGAAACAAACUGAAACCAUUUAAUCCUGAGGUUUACUGUCUUUACUUGUCUCAGCUGGAGCUUCAGAUAAAUGCUACGUGCUGUAACUUGUUAGCAUCUGUAAUCUGUUGUUGUCCCACAGCGGGAAUAUUCACAUAUUUGCCUCCAAGCCAGAAUAGAAGACCCGUCCUGCAGACGCCAUGAACGCCAUGAACAAAGCAACCUGCGGUAGAAGAAGAAAAGAGACGAAGAUUUCACCAGCAGACUGGAAAAAAACUCUGAACUCCAUCAUCGAACAGCUGAGUGACUUACAGUACCGUAAGAUGCUGGAAUAUCUGGAAAGAAUUCCCAGAUAUCUAAAGAAUUCCGAGUGCAGAGUAGAGAUGACCCAGAUAAUGAUUGAACACUACGGAGAAGAGGAGUCCAUCUCUGCUGUCAGAGAUGUGAUGGAGCAGAUGCUGAAGUCCAGGUCCUACUGCAGCCCUUCGUAGACAAACUGAGGAAGAAACGGGAGACAAAGAAAAAGAAGAUGUCAACAGCCUGGAAAAACACAAUGAGGAGCAUCUUCAAGCAGCUGAAAACAGCCCAGUACAGGCGGAUGCUGGAAGUUCUCAGUCUUCCAGCACCACAAAGGAUGUCUGCUAAAUUUAAAAAUGACUUGCCCCAAAAAGUCCUUGAAAACUUCGGAUUAGAAAAAUCCAUCAUUAAAAUCCAGGCAGCGAUGGCAGAGAUUCCCAGGAAAGACCCUAAAGUCCAGAAUCUGCUGCAGCCCUUUGUGGACGAACUGAGGAAGAAGCAGGAUGAAGAGUAAAAGCAAGCAGCAGGUGGAGAGUCCGUGGAAAGACUUCGACAGCAGGGUGGACUUCUAGAAGAAACUGGAUCCAACCAUCAUUUUGUUCAUGUUUAAUAGUCUCAGUCAAAUGUUUACUGAACAAAACUACUUUCUCUUCCACCAUAACCCAGGACAAUAUUUCAGGGGAUCUUUUUAAAACAUUUUUUAAUCAUUACUUCUACAUUUAGCUGCAUUGUUUGUUUUACAGAAGCUUCAUCCUAACAAGUCCUACAGAUGACUAGUCAGGCCUUCUAACCAGUUUUAUACCAGACUUUCUUAAAUGGGAGCACAUGUACCUGCUGAGUGUGUGGAGACUCUCCAGGGUUACAUGAGAAAGUAAGGAGGGAUAACUUGUUCUAUCUUUUUUAUAGCUCUUCAAUGUUCUCAUCAUACCUUUCUGGGGGUCUGUUUCAGUUAAUGGUGGCAGUUUGACGUCCUCCUCUGAACGCUUGUCCCCACGUUCUGGCCACCACUGUUUGCCUUGAACAUGCUUCCUCAGGGUCAUUUGAUGUGAACUUUCAGAGUUUAUCUUCUCACAUAUUUGAUCUUCAGUAGAUGUUUCUUGUAAAAAUAAUGACUCGUCCAAAUAAUCUGUCCUGUUAAGCGGCAUCAGGUCCAUCAACGACGGGAUGAAGCAUAACUUUUUUAUACCCAGUGGUGGAGGUCCUUGUCUCUGCUCCAUCAAGUAAUAGAGAAACUUGAUUUUUAUCUUCUGCAGUAAAACCAGCUGUACGUAAUCUGGGUGUCUCUGAGUUUGAAUCUGGACCAGCAUGUAAAUAAUUUGUGUCGCUCCUGUUUCUAUCACCUGAGAGACAGACCAGAUGGGAAUUCUCUCCUUAAUUUUCUCCCGUUUGGAUUAAUUUUCCAGGACUUUGGACCAAAAACCAUCAGAAGAGGUCACAUCCCUCCAGUCUGGCAUUCCUUCCAGUGUCCCUCUAUCAGAUCUAGAUCUAGAGUAAAAUCUCGUGUACAGAGCCUUGCUCUGCUGCAGCGUUGCCAUGGCAGCAGGGAUCUGGGGUGGCUGGUCUCAGUCGAGACUCGUUUCAGGCUGUCGCCCCAGAAACGCUGAAUCUAUGAGCAGCUUAAAACUUCCUUAUUUAAACAAGCUGUUUCUUAUUUUAUUGAUUUUACGUUAAUAUUUGUUUUUUAUUUGAUUUACUCAGCGCUUAAUGUUGUUUUAAGUUGUUUUUUUUACGUUGUC